UACGGGGGGGGCAAGCGUUGUCCGGAAUUAUUGGGCGUAAAGGGCGCGUAGGUGGGAUAGCAAGUCUGGGGUGCAAACUUAUGGCUUAACUGUAAGCUUGCCCUGGAUACUACUAUUCUUGAGUUCGGGAGAGGGAAGUGGAAUUCCUGGUGUAGCGGUGAAAUGCGUAGAUAUCAGGAAGAACACCGGUGGCGAAGGCGGCUUCCUGGCCCGAUACUGACACUGAGGCGCGAAAGUGCGGGGAGCAAACAGGAUUAGAUACCCUGGUAGUCCGCACAGUAAACGUUGGACACUAGGUGUUGGUCUCUAUGAGAUCAGCGCCGCAGCUAACGCAUUAAGUGUCCCGCCUGGGGAGUACGACCGCAAGGUUGAA
This 373-nucleotide ribosomal RNA is filed under the name uncultured bacterium. RNAcentral's name for it is "bacterial SSU rRNA". It matches the Rfam family "Bacterial small subunit ribosomal RNA", at positions 524 to 898 of the family's 1533-position model. The record is from RNAcentral.